AGGGGCAGCAUGAACUUAGCUUGCUAAGUUUGAUGGCGACCGGCGCACGGGUGAGUAACACGUAUCCAACCUUCCGUUUACUCAGGGAUAGCCUUUCGAAAGAAAGAUUAAUACCUGAUAGUAUGGUGAGAUUGCAUGAUAGCACCAUUAAAGAUUUAUUGGUAAACGAUGGGGAUGCGUUCCAUUAGGUAGUAGGCGGGGUAACGGCCCACCUAGCCUGCGAUGGAUAGGGGUUCUGAGAGGAAGGUCCCCCACAUUGGAACUGAGACACGGUCCAAACUCCUACGGGAGGCAGCAGUGAGGAAUAUUGGUCAAUGGGCGAGAGCCUGAACCAGCCAAGUAGCGUGAAGGAUGAAGGUCCUACGGAUUGUAAACUUCUUUUAUACGGGAAUAAAGUUUCCUACGUGUAGGAUUUUGUAUGUACCGUAUGAAUAAGCAUCGGCUAACUCCGUG
This 453-nucleotide ribosomal RNA is filed under the name uncultured bacterium. RNAcentral describes it as "bacterial SSU rRNA". It matches the Rfam family "Bacterial small subunit ribosomal RNA", at positions 65 to 507 of the family's 1533-position model. The record is from RNAcentral.